GUUUAUUUCAUUAAAUGGUAAUAUACAUUAUAUAUAUGUUCAUCCCUACUAGAAAUAAUAAUAGUUGAUGAACAUUGAUCUCUAAUAAUGAUAGUUCCUAAUGUUUUGAAAAUGAUAAUAAUAAUAUGCCCACAUCAUCAUCGAUGUCUCUCAUCCCUACUAGAAGUGGAUUGAUGCGAGCAGUUAGCAAGACGAGACGAGCUCCAUGGCAAGGUCACCGCGAUUGUAGGGUAUUUGAAUGGUGGGCUGGAUCCAUGUGCUUGACUUCCUUCUCUUGUUUAUUCUCCGCGAUGGAAUUUAUAUAUUGACAGUUUGAUUGGUAGCCACUAAAUAAUGCAGGUCAAUUUAAUUAAUCUGUCGCUAUGCUAGUGUGCGCGAAAGGAAAAUAUAGAUAUCUUACGUUGAAGAACAGGAGAAUAGAUAAGUAUGUUUAAAAUAUCUAUGGACUUCAAUAUUCAGUUACGAUGAUCAGUACGGGUAGGCCAAAAAUCAAGGGCACUAUGAUACAAUAAUAAGUGUUGACAAAUGGGGAAUAACUAACAGUGUGUUCCCUUGUCUCAUUACAUCACACACCAUCUACACAUAGCUGGACAAUUAUAGUAAAACGGUUCAACCCAUGAGAAGACUCUCACACAGUGCAGAUCAUUUGUUCCACCUUGUCUAACUACUGAAUUUGUGUAGCUCUCCACCAUGUGCACAUAAAUAAUGCAGCCAUCUCCUAAUUUUGUGUACUCGCAUGAAGAAUUACCGCUCCCACAAGGUUCUGGUUGUCUUAAAUCAUAAUCCUAUGAAGGUUGUGCUUUAGGUCACCAGUCAUGUCAAGAAUGACAUUGUAUUAUUAUCAUAUACUUGACCGGUGACUACUACCCUUGGACGGGCAAGCAAUGACCUCUCCUACCAAUGGUACCAUGGCAUGGGAGGACGAGGACCAAUCGCACUUGAUAAAAGAGACACCAAAUAGGACAAUAUUCUCUAUUGUGAUAUCUUUCUCAUUAACUUUUGUCUUGACACUAUAUUAUAUGUCAUAUUAUUAUUUUAUUAUAUAUAUAUACGCGUUGUAUCCCCGUAUGGCUGUUUUGGAAAAUGUUGUAUCCUUUGCCCCCGUAUGUGUAUCCCGGUCUUUCUGUCCUCGUCUGCGUGCUUUUUAGAUUCUGAAAACUAUAUUAUUUGCAUUGCUAACAUAUACUGGUAUAUAUUUCGGAUCACACGCUACUUAUUUACAUCAUAAAAUAAUUUGGCAUGUUUAUGUUUUAUACGCUCGCAUAUGUGCCAGCUUACAUCCAUAUUUGUUAUGCCUUAUGCAGAAACUACUGGAUACUUUACAUUAAGCUAGACCAAGUAUGUCCCUUAUUGCUUCAAACAUUAGUUCUUCUCCUGUUGUUAUUUGUUAUUAUACCUGGCAAUAGAGCUUCAUUGGUUUCUUCAAAGGUGACAUGCCAUGAUAUAUUUUUUACUCUAUAGAGUGUGUACAGUUCUUCCCUCUUUUAUGACUAUUUGGUGCUUUUAUCCAACAAGGCAGUAAAUUAUUUUGCAGAGAACAAUGGCAGAAAAUAGCAUGGUUGACACCUUUUGUUGAUACGGAAGUUGAUGUUGGCAUGGCGAUUGAAAACUUGGUUUGUUUCAUAAUAUUUUGUAGUAGUCAAGUGAUCAAACAUUUGUUCUCUUAGGAUCUUACCAUCAAAUUGUGCAACUUGUCUUAUAUAUCAACUUAUGUAUUUCCUCGAUGGUUGUAGCUAACUUGAGCAAAGAAAACAAAUGAAUUUGUAUAUAUGUUGAAUGAAUGUAUGGAUGAAUGACAUCUUGUGAAGAA
Long non-coding RNA from Hordeum vulgare subsp. vulgare (domesticated barley), 1810 nucleotides. RefSeq lists it as uncharacterized. NCBI's taxonomy places the organism in Eukaryota, Viridiplantae, Streptophyta, Magnoliopsida, Poales, Poaceae. The transcript is spliced from 4 exons. The record is from RefSeq and is a predicted model, not a curated record.